RNAcentral lists this ribosomal RNA (694 nucleotides) under uncultured bacterium. Its description in RNAcentral is "bacterial SSU rRNA". It matches the Rfam family "Bacterial small subunit ribosomal RNA", at positions 109 to 801 of the family's 1533-position model. The record is from RNAcentral.
CGUAACGCGUAUGCAAUCUACCUUUUACAGAGGGAUAGCCCAGAGAAAUUUGGAUUAAUACCUCAUAGCAUUAUGAAGUGGCAUCACUUUAUAAUUAAAGUCACAACGGUAAAAGAUGAGCAUGCGUCCCAUUAGCUAGUUGGUAAGGUAACGGCUUACCAAGGCAACGAUGGGUAGGGGUCCUGAGAGGGAGAUCCCCCACACUGGUACUGAGACACGGACCAGACUCCUACGGGAGGCAGCAGUGAGGAAUAUUGGUCAAUGGGCGCAAGCCUGAACCAGCCAUGCCGCGUGCAGGAUGAAGCAUCUAUGGUGUGUAAACUGCUUUUGUACGAGAAGAAACACUCCUACGUGUAGGAGCUUGACGGUAUCGUAAGAAUAAGGACCGGCUAAUUCCGUGCCAGCAGCCGCGGUAAUACGGAGGGUCCAAGCGUUAUCCGGAAUCAUUGGGUUUAAAGGGUCCGUAGGCGGUUUAGUAAGUCAGUGGUGAAAGCCCAUCGCUCAACGGUGGAACGGCCAUUGAUACUGCUAAACUUGAAUUAUUGGGAAGUAACUAGAAUAUGUAGUGUAGCGGUGAAAUGCUUAGAGAUUACAUGGAAUACCAAUUGCGAAGGCAGGUUACUACCAAUAUAUUGACGCUGAUGGACGAAAGCGUGGGGAGCGAACAGGAUUAGAUACCCUGGUAGUCCACGCC